This 325-nucleotide unclassified non-coding RNA is filed under the name Hevea brasiliensis (rubber tree). Lineage: Eukaryota; Viridiplantae; Streptophyta; Magnoliopsida; Malpighiales; Euphorbiaceae. The record is from RNAcentral.
AGAGAGGGCGAAUUUGAUUGGGGAAAGUAAUGGUAGUAGAGAAUGUGUCAUACAGGAAGCUGCAGGCUAUUUCUACUGUGCCUACUGAGGAUUUGGGGUUCAAUGACUCCGAUCAGAAGAGAAAUAAUGGUGGGAAUUCAGCCAAUAUAGUGACACUGCCUCCAAUUAUGGAGGGCAAAGGCAUUGUAAAUGAUUUGGGACUACAGUUCAUGUAGUUCCAAUAAAAAUGUAUGCUCAUCUCUCAAAACUAUUUGUUUCAGGGUUUGUACGUGUGUGACUGGAGAACUGAACUAAAGUGUAGCUGUUUUUUUUUUUUUUAUUCUUA